GGGGAUAUAGCUCAGUUGGGAGAGCGCCGCCCUUGCAAGGCGGAGGCCACCGGUUCGAUUCCGGUUAUCUCCACCA
Molecule: transfer RNA, 76 nt
Filed under: Candidatus Cloacimonetes bacterium 4572_55
Lineage: Bacteria; Pseudomonadati; Candidatus Cloacimonadota
Also listed under: 1 other name
Description: tRNA-Ala
Rfam family: tRNA
About the family: Transfer RNA (tRNA) molecules are approximately 80 nucleotides in length.
Source: RNAcentral